RNAcentral lists this ribosomal RNA (440 nucleotides) under uncultured bacterium. RNAcentral describes it as "partial 16S ribosomal RNA". It matches the Rfam family "Bacterial small subunit ribosomal RNA", at positions 338 to 795 of the family's 1533-position model. The record is from RNAcentral.
CCUACGGGAGGCAGCAGUAAGGAAUAUUGCUCAAUGGGGGCAACCCUGAACCAGCAACGCCGCGUGAAGGAUGAAGGUUUUCGGGUUGUAAACUCCUUUUGUUAGAGGAGAUAAUUACAGUAUCUAACGAAUAAGCACCGGCUAACUCCGAGCCAGCAGCCGCGGUAAUACGGAGGGUGCAAGCGUUACGCGGAAUCACUGGGCGUAAAGAGCGCGUAGGCGGGAUAGUAAGUCAGAUGUGAAAUCCUAUGGCUUAACCAUAGAACUGCAUUUGAAACUGUUAUUCUAGAGUAUGGUAGAGGUAGGUGGAAUUCGUGGUGUAGGGGUAAAAUGCGUAGAGAUCAAGAGGAAUACUCAUUGCGAAGGCGACCUGCUAGAACAUAACUGACGCUGAUGCGCGAAAGCGUGGGGAGCAAACAGGAUUAGAUACCCUAGUAGUC